CUGGGUGUAAAGCGUGCGCAGGCGGUUAUACAAGACAGAUGUGAAAUCCCCGGGCUCAACCUGGGAAUCGCUUUUGACACUGCAUAUCUAGAGUGCGUGAGAGGGGGGUGAAAUUCCGCGUGUAGCAGUGAAAUGCGUAGAUAUGGGGGGGAACCCCGAUGGCGAAGGCACUCCCCUGGCACUAUACUCACUCUCAUGCGAGAAAGUGUGGGGCGCACACAGGUUUAUAUCCCCUGGUAGUCCACCCCCUAAACGAUGUCUACUAGUUGUUGGGUCUUACUCUCACCAGUAACGCAGCUAACGC
Molecule: ribosomal RNA, 304 nt
Filed under: uncultured bacterium
Lineage: Bacteria
Description: bacterial SSU rRNA
Rfam family: Bacterial small subunit ribosomal RNA
Source: RNAcentral